This 76-nucleotide transfer RNA is filed under the name Hydrotalea sp. AMD. RNAcentral's name for it is "tRNA-Gln". It matches the Rfam family "tRNA". Rfam says of the family: Transfer RNA (tRNA) molecules are approximately 80 nucleotides in length. Their secondary structure includes four short double-helical elements and three loops (D, anti-codon, and T loops). Lineage: Bacteria; Pseudomonadati; Bacteroidota; Chitinophagia; Chitinophagales; Chitinophagaceae. The record is from RNAcentral.
UGGCCUAUAGUGUAACUAGUUAACACACAACUCUUUGAAAGUUGUAUUCCAAGUUCAAAUCUUGGUAGGCUAGCAA